CCUACGGGAGGCAGCAGUGAGGAAUAUUGGUCAAUGGCCGGAAGGCUGAACCAGCCAAGCCGCGUGAAGGUCAGUGCCCUAUGGGCGUUAAACUUCUUUUGUGCGGGAGCAAUAAUGGGCACGUGUGGCCAGACGAGAGUACCGUACGAAUAAGCAUCGGCUAACUCCGUGCCAACAGCCGCGGUUAUACGGGGGGUGCAAGCGUUAUACGGAUUUAUUGGGUUUAAAGGGUGCGUAGGCUGUGAGGUAAGUCAGCGGUGAAAUGCCCCCGCUCAAAGGGGUGAAGUGCCGUUGAUACUGCCGUUCUGGAGUGCGGAUGACGUGUGCGGAAUGUGUGGUGUAGCGGUGAAAUGCAUAGAUAUCACACAGAACACCGAUUGCGAAGGCAGCUUACG
This 395-nucleotide ribosomal RNA is filed under the name uncultured bacterium. Its description in RNAcentral is "partial 16S ribosomal RNA". It matches the Rfam family "Bacterial small subunit ribosomal RNA", at positions 338 to 730 of the family's 1533-position model. The record is from RNAcentral.